RNAcentral lists this ribosomal RNA (468 nucleotides) under uncultured bacterium. Its description in RNAcentral is "partial 16S ribosomal RNA". It matches the Rfam family "Bacterial small subunit ribosomal RNA", at positions 28 to 507 of the family's 1533-position model. The record is from RNAcentral.
GACGAACGCUGGCGGCGUGCUUAACACAUGCAAGUCGAACGGAAAGGCCCUGCUUUUGUGGGGUGCUCGAGUGGCGAACGGGUGAGUAACACGUGAGUAACCUGCCCUUGACUUUGGGAUAACUUCAGGCAACUGGGGCUAAUACCGGAUAGGAGCUCCUGCUGCAUGGUGGGGGUUGGAAAGUUUCGGCGGUUGGGGAUGGACUCGCGGCUUAUCAGCUGGUUGGUGGGGUAGUGGCUUACCAAGGCUUUGACGGGUAGCCGGCCUGAGAGGGUGACCGGCCACACUGGGACUGAGAUACGGCCCAGACUCCUACGGGAGGCAGCAGUGGGGAAUAUUGCACAAUGGGCGGAAGCCUGAUGCAGCAACGCCGCGUGCGGGAUGACGGCCUUCGGGUUGUAAACCGCUUUCGCCUGUGACGAAGCGUGAGUGACGGUAAUGGGUAAAGAAGCACCGGCUAACUACGUG